RNAcentral lists this ribosomal RNA (229 nucleotides) under uncultured bacterium. Its description in RNAcentral is "partial 16S ribosomal RNA". It matches the Rfam family "Bacterial small subunit ribosomal RNA", at positions 29 to 240 of the family's 1533-position model. The record is from RNAcentral.
AGCGAACGCUGGCGGCGUGCUUAACACAUGCAAGUCGAGCGAGAAAGGGGGCUUCGGCCCCUCGAGUACAGCGGCGAACGGGUGCGUAAUACAUGAGCAAUCUACCCUUGAGGCGGGAAUAACCCAGCGAAAGUUGGGCUAAUACCGGAUAAGACCACAAGAGGAGACUCUAGAGGCUAAAGGCAGCUCUCUUUUGAGGGCGGCCCUUUGAGGAGGAGCUCAUGUCCUA